This 35125-nucleotide long non-coding RNA is filed under the name Vitis vinifera (wine grape). RNAcentral describes it as "long non-coding RNA (VVIN_LNC001392)". The record is from RNAcentral. Lineage: Eukaryota; Viridiplantae; Streptophyta; Magnoliopsida; Vitales; Vitaceae.
GGUGGCUUCUCUCCCUUAGGUGGUUUGCCAACUGGGGUUGGUGGCUUGUGUUCUGGGAGUGGCUUCUCCCCCUUGGGAGGUUUUUCCAAUGGGGUUGGUUUGUGUUCAGGAGGUGGCUUCUCCACUGGAGGCUUGUGUUCAGGAGGUGGCUUCUCCACCGGUGGCUUGUGUUCAGGAGGUGGCUUCUCCACCGGAGGCUUAUGCUCUGGUGGUGGCUUCUCCACCGGAGGCUUAUGCUCUGGUGGUGGCUUCUUGAAUGGGGGAUGCUGAGGGUAAUCAGCAAGUGAGGGGGCGGUGAGAACCACCAGGCCAAGCAACACCACUAGCAAAUAUGUAGGAGACAUCUUUGGGUUUGGGCUCAGAUGGUGCAAAACUAGGAGAAUUGGCUAGCCUUUUAUAGCGGAUCGUACUCAAUAAUGAAAUGACACGUGUCAUUAUGACCCAUGUGUAAUGGGGUCGAUUUGGGUCCUACAGUGUUGAAAACUUCGACAUCCAGUUUUGGCCUUUUGCUUUCUCUACAGCCGCCUUGCUUUUUCCCUCUUUCCUUUUGUUUUCCUCCUGCCCCAUUCUAUCAACUAAACACAAUUAUGUAGUUGUUUAAUUCUUAAAUGAGAUAUUAUCGGUCAAUCGUAUUAUAUUUUAUCAAGAGAGAACGGAGUGCAAUGCAGCUGUAAUUUUAUCGUUUACUUUUAUCUCUUGGACCACUGCAUUUUUGUUAAGAGGUGCAAUAAUACACGUCUUUAUCUGCCAUUCAAUGUUUACAGUAAAGAGAGGGCACAAAACUCUUCACUGCUCUGCAUGUGUCCCAAAAAUGCGAUUGGACAAAUUAUGAUUUGCAUGCUAAAAAGAGGCAAAUGAGGUUAAUUCGCACCAUAAUUAUUUGGUUUUCUGGACACCAUAAAAAGAUGUUAUACAGGCAGGGAAAAACCUUCAGAGUUAGCUACCAAAGAUAAUUAUCAAGCAGAUAUCACCAAGAGAAUUCCAUAGAGUCUGAAUCAAAGACAGAUUGCUCGCUCGUGGGGGUUCUUACUUUCUUUUGGGUAUAACUCACUGAGGUCACUGUCUUUUUUAUUUGCAUUUCACAGUUAGAGUUCUGCUCUGGAAGGUUUGUUCUGGAAACAUAUAAAAGGAGCAUCAUUUUGUUCUUGGGUAACCCAUAGUCGUGAGUGGGUCCAUUUGCAUGCUACUUAGUUGAAAAGUUGGACAAUUUGCUCCGACGCCUACCUCCUGGAUUCCAUGCUCGGUAAAACAAGAAUAAAAAAAAAUAUAUAAUUUACAAAUGGGGGAAAGAAAAAAUGUCGGAAAAAAUAGUAAAAUUCAUGUCACAUGCUAGUGAGAGAAGGGGUUGUUACACUCACUCGAAGUUCUUUUCAAAAUAUCGAAUGGUAUUUUACUUUAUGUGUCAGCGCAGUUGUGAAUGGAACGUGCAAAAGUCCAAAUUGGCGUUUUUAUUUUUCCCAUGUAGGAUGGUGACCUUUAAUAAAUAUUUAAAACAAAAGACGAAAAAAAAAAGGAGGGAAAAGGGAUCACAAAAGAUAAAAUAAUGUUUACAAAAGCUCAAUUAGUUUGCAAAUUACUGUUUGGAUUUUGAUAGUAUUUUAUUUGUCGUUCUAUAUUUGAUGUAAAAGAGAAUUUAAGAUAUUUCCGAAGCAAAAGCAUUAGUUUGCUCUGUGAUGUCCCACAUCGAAUAGGGGAGAAAGUUUCUGGCGCUAUAUAUGUAGAGGCUCCUCUUAACCAAGUAGAUGCGUUUUAAAACCAUGAGGGCCCCCUUAGGUCCAAAGCGGACAAUAUCUACAUGAUUGGGUGUAAGUCAUUACAAAUGGUAUCAGAGCCGAUCCCCGACCCCGGUGUGGGGGUUUGUUUGGCCCUGUAAGGGGUGUUUGUCUGUUUGACCCCACAAUCCCAUGGGACACAACGAGGACGUUGUGUCUGCAUGGGGGGGCGUUUGUGAUGUCCCACAUCGGAUAGGGGAGAAAGUUCCUAGUGCUAUAUAUGUAGAUGUUUCUCUUAACCAAGUAGAUGCAUUUUAAAAUUGUGAGGGCCUCUUUGGGCCCAAAGCGGACAAUAUCUACAUGGUUGAGUGUAAGUCAUUACAUGCUCCAUGUCAAUUUCAGCAUUUCUCAUAUGUUUCACACAUACACAGAAGAGCAUCGUUUUUUAAAGCAUGCAUUUAUGUUGGAUUAAUUUGGAUUUUGUGGGAACUGGGGCAAGGAUCACAUGGAAGAGAGGUUGACUUUUUUCAGUACUUCAAUGGUUGAAAUAUGUGAAGGCUUGAUUGAUACUAAAGCUUGAAAUUGCGACUCUGUCAUUUGUAAAAAAAUAUGACAGCUUCCAUGCUCUCGUUUGGUUGCAUUGUCCGGUCGAGAGGUGCAAAAAGCAUUCUCUCUCUUCUAAUAGUCUUUUCGUUUAAAUCAAGGGAUUUGCCUUCCCGGUCGAGGUCCAAUAGAGGGUAACGGUCACCUACUAAACAUUAAAUGCUCCAACAACUAGUGAACUGAUCGACCCCAGCUCGACUAGUUGAGGUUACUUUUUGGUUUUCUUGUCUCCCGAGGUUAGAAACCUAUAAAUAGAGAGCUUCACUUCAUUUAUGAGUAAGAGAACACCUAAAUUUAUUUGUUUACCUACUUGUUUUUGCCAUAAAAGCUCUCAUUUCUUUUCUUGGUGUAUUAAAUCUCCAUUUGCAUAUCCUUUAGUGCACCUUUGUGAUUCAUUCUAGCCUUGAGUUGUAUUUAAGCCUUUGUUGAGCUAGGUUGAGAGUUUCAUACUUGUUUAUUGAGUGUUAAAGCCUUCAAGUGAGUUAAAACUUGAAGAGAUUGUGUAAGAGCCCAUUGGAGUCGGAAUCCAAGUGUAAAGGUGAUUAAAAGCUUGGUUGAAGCUUCAAGUUAGUGGAACUCUCACUCGGUUAUGAGCUUGAGAAGAGUGGACAUAGACAAGGCAGUGUCGAACCACUAUAAAAUCUGAGUUUGAUUUCUCUAACCUUAUCUCUUUAUAUUUGCUUCUCUUGUGCUUAAAUUUUUUGUGUUUAAAAAGAAUUUUUAAAAACUCAAUUCACCCCCUUCUUGGGAGUUUUUCUCUUUUAAGAUCAGCUUUUAUUUUCUCAAUUGGUAUCAGAACUAUGCCUCUUGUUUAAGACUUAAUCGUCUAAGAGGAAAUGGCUAAUCCAUCAAGUUCAUCUCACAUUGAAAGUUUUGCAACCAAUAGACUUCUUUUUUUUUUUUUGCGGGAACUGAUUAUCCCUAUUGGAAAACUAAAAUGACUUGGUUUUUACAAUCAAUUGAUUUAGAUGUAUGAGAUGCCAUUGAAGAUGACCUAACUUUUCCUUCAAAACUAGUUGAUGGAGUCAUGGUUCCAAAACCUAAGCAAGAAUGGGAUGAGCGUGAUUGAAGAAAUUUUCAAUUAAAUGCUAAAGUCGUUUAUACUUUGCAAUGCUCUAUGGACAGAAAUGAAUAUAAUAGAAUAUGUCAAUGCAAAUCGGUUAAAGAAAUUUGGAGAUUGCUUGAAAUAACUCAUAAAGGAACAAAUCAAGUUAAAGAGUCAAAAAUCAAUUUACUUGUUCAUAGAUAUGAAUUGUUUUUUAUGAAAGAUAAUGAAACUAUUGUUAAGAUGAUCACUAGGUUCACCAACAUUGUUAAUGGUCUUAAAGCCUUGGGAAAGACCUACAAGGAAUCCGAAAACGUGAUGAAGAUCUUGAGGUCACUUCCAUCAAAGUGGCAUACCAAGGUCACCGCAAUUUAAGAAGCAAAAGACUUGAUCAAGCUACCUUUGGAGGAGUUCAUAGGGUCAUUGAUGACAUAUGAAAUCAAUUUGGCAAAGAAGUAACAAAAAGGUGAAGACAAAAAGAAGAAGAACAUAACUCUCAAAGCUACAACUAAGGAAGAAGAAGUUGAAGAAGAAAAACAAAUUGAAGAAGAUGAAGAUUUAGCCCUCAUCACAAGAAAGUUCAACAAAUUCAUGAGGGGUGAAAGGUUUAGAAGAAGAAGGUUCACUUCUAGAAGAGACUUUUCUAAAAAGGAAUCUUCAUCUAAUGGUGACAAAAAGAGAUGGGAAGAGAAAAGAGACUUGGUGUGUUUCAAGUGCAAGAAACCGGGACACAUUAAAUAUGAUUGUCCUCUCUACAAAAGUGAAGUCAAGAGGAAAAAGAAUAAGGCAAUGAUGGCCACUUAGAGUGAAAGUGAAGAUGAAUCAUCCGAAGAAGAAAAUGAGAAAGAAGUGGCAAACAUGUGUUUCAUGGCAAUAGAUGAACUUGAUGAGGUAAAAUCUAACCUUAGUGAUUAAGAUAUACAUGAUGCAUUUGAAGAAUUGUAUGAGGAUUUUUAAAAACUUAGUUUGAAAAAUAUUUCUCUUAAAAAGAAAGUUCAACAACUUGACAAAGAACUUAGAGAAGUAAAAGAAAAAUUUUCAAAUGUUAAAGUUUCUAAAACUCAUCUUGAAAAAGAAAAUGAGAUUCUAAGAAAGAAAAAUGAAUAGUUGAACUCCUCUCUUUCAAUCUUUUCUUCUAGACAAAAAUCUUUUGAAAUGAUUCUAACUAGCUAAAAAUGUGUUUUUGACAAACAAGGGUUAAGAUUUAAAUCUUCAAAAAAUCAAAAGUAUUUUAAAAACUAUUUUGUAAAGGAAUCCACAAGUGCAAGUCCUUCCACUACUUGCAACUUUUGUGGAAGAGAAUGGCACAUUAGUAGUACGCCCUUUAAGAAAUGGUUCUCAAAAGAAUUUAAAUGCAAAAACUAAAAAAGAUUUGGAUUGAGAAAUCCAAGGUCACUAACCCUCAAGGACCCAAAAAGAUAUAGGUACCUAAAUCAACUUGAGUUUUAUGUUGUAAGGUUCAAAGAAUGAUAAGUGGUUCUUAGAUAAUGGUUGCUCAAGACACAUGACCGGAGAUGAAUCCAAGUUUGCUUUUCUUAAAAAGAAAAAUGGAGGAUAUGUUACCUUUGGAGACAAUGCAAAAGAAAGGAUGAUUGGUCAAGGCAACAUUGGUAAUGGCACAUCCUCUCUCAUUGAAAGUGUUUUAUUAGUAGAUGGUUUCAAACAUAACCUUUUAAGCAUUAGUCAAUUUUGCGACAAAGGUUUUUAAGUGAUUUUUUAAGCAUCUCAUUGCAUCAUCAAGGAUAUUCAAAAUGAUAAAACCAUUUUCAUGGGCCAUAGAUGUGAUAAUGUUUAUGCUAUAAAUAUUUCAAAAUAUGAUGGCCAUGAUAGAUGUUUUUCAAGCAUGCAUGAUCAAAGUUGGUUGUGCCAUAGGAGAUUGAGACAUGCUAACAUAGACCUCAUUUCCCAACUCAACAAAGAUGAACUUGUUAGAGGCCUUCCCAAAAUAAUUUUUUAAAAAGAUAAAGUUUGUGAAGCUUGUCAAGUGGGAAAGUAAAUCAAAAACUCUUUUAAAAACAAAAACUUCAUUUCCACAUCUAGGCCACUUGAGUUGUUGCAUAUGGAUUUAUUUGGUCCCUCUAGGACACCAAGUCUUAGAGGAAAUUCUUAUGCAUAUGCUAUUGUGGACGACUUCUCUAGAUACACAUGAGUCUUGUUUUUUAGUCAAAAGAAUAAAGUUUUUUAUGAGUUUUCAAAGUUUUGCAAUAAGAUUCAAAAUGAAAAAGGUUUUUCAAUUACUUAUAUAAGAAGUGAUCAUGGGAGAGAAUUCGAAAAUAUUGAUUUUGAAGAGUAUUGCAAUGAGCAUGGAAUUGACCACAAUUUUUUGGCUCUUAGAACUCCUCAACAAAAUGGGGUAGUUGAAAGGAAAAAUAGAACUCUUCAAAAAAUGACAAGAACCAUACUAAAUGAAAACAACUUACCAAAAUAUUUUUAGGCCAAAACGGUUAACACUUCUUGUUAUGUUUUAAAUAGAGUAUUAUUGAGGCUCAUACUUAAGAAAACUCCCUAUGAGCUUUGGAAAAACAAAAAACCCAACAUUAGUUAUUCCAAAGUCUUUGGAUGCAAUAUUUUAUAAUAAACACCAAAGACAAUCUUGGAAAAUUUGAUGCAAAAUUGGAUGUUGGAAUUUUCCUUGGUUACUCAACUUCAAGUAAAGCUUUUCGAGUUUUAACAAAAGAACCAUGGUUGUAGAGGAGUCCAUCCAUGUUAUUUUUUAUGAAUCUCCAAGAAAGAGAGAGGAUUGAUGAUGAUUUAGGUUUGAAGACCUCUAUAGGAAGAUUGCAAAUCGAAGAUAGAAGACAACAAGAAGAAAAUGGAGAGAAUCCAAAGAAAGAAGGAUCACCAUUGGCACUACCCCCUCAUCAACAAGCGCAAGGUGAAUCAAGUCAAGAGCUUCCUAAAGAAUGGAAGUUUGUCAUCAAUCACCCACAAGAUCAAAUUAUAGGCAAUCCAUCUAGUGGGGUAAGAACUAGAUCCUCUCUUAGAAAUAUUUGCAAUAAUCUAGCUUUUAUCUCUCAAAUUGAGCCUAAAAAUAUAAAUGAUGUUUUAGAUGAUGAAAAUUGGAUAAUUGCAAUGCAAGAAGAGUUAAAUCCAUUUGAAAGAAGUGGAGUAUGGGAAUUAGUACCAAGACCUUCAAAUCAAAGUGUUAUUGGAACUAGAUGGAUCUUUAGAAAUAAAAUGGAUGAAAAUAGCAUAAUUGUUAGAAAUAAAGCAAGAUUGGUAGCCCAAGGUUUUAAUCAAGAAGAAAUGAUAGAUUAUGAAGAAACCUUUGCCCCCGUAGCUAGGUUGGAAGCCAUUAGGAUGCUACUUGCCUUUGCAUGUUUUAAAGACUUUGUUUUAUAUCAAAUGGAUGUGAAAAGUGCUUUUUUAAAUGGUUUUAUAAAUGAAGAAGUAUAUGUUGAACAACCACCCGGUUUUCAAAGUUUCAACUUUCCUAACCAUGUUUUUAAACUUAAAAAGACACUUUAUGGUUUGAAACAAGCACCUAGAUCAUGGUAUGAAAAAUUGAGUAAAUUUCUUUUGAAAAAAAUGUUUUAAAAUGGGAAAAAUUGACACAACUCUUUUUAUAAAAACCAAAGAAAAUGAUAUGCUCUUAGUUCAAAUAUAUAUUGAUGAUAUCAUUUUUGGUGCUACUAAUGUCUCUCUUUAUGAAGAAUUUUCUAAGUGCAUGCAUAGUGAGUUUGAAAUGAGCAUGAUAGGAGAACUCAACUUCUUCCUUGGACUUCAAAUCAAGCAACUAAAGGAAUGAACCUUCAUCAAUCAAGCAAAGUAUAUAAGAGAUCUUCUCAAAAGGUUCAACAUGGAAGAAGCCAAAACAAUGAAGACUCUAAUGAGCUCAUCCAUUAAGCUUGAUAAGGAUGAGAAAGGUAAAUCCAUUGACUCUAUUAUGUAUAGAGGCAUGAUAGGUUCUUUGCUCUAUUUGACCACUAGUAGACCUUACAUUAUGUAUAGUGUGUGUUUGUGUACUAGAUUUCAAUCUUGUCUUAAAAAAUCUCACUUAAGUGUCGUGAAAAGAAUCCUCAAAUAUUUGAAAGGGACAAUGGACAUAGGCUUAUGGUAUCCUAAGAGUGAUAACUUUGAAUUAAUUGGUUUUUUGGAUGCUGAUUUUGUCAGUUGUAGGGUUGAAAAAUAAAACACUAGUGGCACUUUUCAUUUCUUAAGACACUUACUUGUCUCAUGGCAUAAUAAGAAGCAAAAUUUGGUAGCUUUGUCAACAGCAGAAGCUAAAUACAUAGCAACUGGUUUAUGUUGUGCACAAAUCCUUUGGAUGAAAUAAACACUUAGUGAUUUUGAUUUAUCUUUUGAGCAUAUUCCUAUUAAAUGUGAUAAUAGUAGUGCCAUAAGUAUAUCAAAAAAUCUCGUGCAACACUCUAGGACUAAGCAUAUAGAGAUUAGACAUAAUUUUCUUAGAUAUCAUACACAAAAGGAUGAUAUAACACUUGAAUUUGUAAGCAUAAAAGACCAACUUGCCGAUAUCUUUACAAAACCUCUAAGAACAUUUUGUUGAUAUUAGAGGACAAUUAGGAGUGAUUUCUUUAUGAUCUAAUGUGAUGAAUUCUUGAUGAAUAUACUUUUUGAUUGCAUGAAUUUCAUGUCAUAUAUGCAUCAUAUAGAAAUAUACUUAGAUAAUGGUCAAAUUUCGACCAAAAAUCAAAAUUCCCAUGGCAUUAGGCAUAAAAAUUUUGGAAUUUCAACUGAAAAUGGUAGGAGGAGGAUCACAAAAUGAGAAAGUAUGCAAAAAUUGAAAAAUCAAAACGUUGACCAAGCGGUCAAUCGGACUAGACCGAUCGACUAGUUUGUCGAGAUUUAGGAUUUUUAAGAGACUCCAACGCUUCAAUUUUUGCACCGUUCUCCUCUAUUUCUUCACGGUUUCUCUGAUUUUGUCUUUUAGAGACUAAUUUGAGUGCGUUUUGGAUCAAUUGAAGCAUUUUGGAUUGGAUUUUAGGAAGAUUGAAAGUUAAGGUUUCGGAUUUGGGUCGCCUUCUCUUCCUCUCGCGUGUCACAAUCAGCUUUAGCAUUGUUCUCUUUCCAUUUUCACACACCUAGGGUUUCAGUUGUGAGCAUCUCUCUCUCUUUACCAACCACUACUCCCUUGCUUCUUCCAUAUGGCUCCUAGGCGAGAGUCCGCUACUUCUAGGGCACAAGGCAAGCACCCAACUGAGUCGUCUCAGUCAAAGGCACGUCGAAAAGUGAGAUUUGACAUUGCCUUGUUCAGUUCCAUGGAGGACUACCAACUAUACAAGCAACACUUUGCUUAGAGACGAGUAGUUCCCAAGAGAAAUAUUAAUUUUCCUCAACUUCAGCAUUUCGAAUUUAAGGGUCUAUUUACUAGGAUGGUUGGUUGUCUAUUGUCACAAUUUCGGAGCCGGUUUUCCUGACCUUAGUGCGAGUUUUUUACUCGAGGGCGACUUAUGGCAUGGGUGGCAUGAUCAUUUCUACUGUUGGAGGAGUUGAGAUCUGUCUGGACCCAGAGAGCAUCUGCCAUAUUUUCGAUAUUGCUCUGGUUGGACUCAAAGUAUACAAGUCCAAAAUGUGGCCCAUUGUGCCAGGAUUUGAGCUUAGAGAGGUCAUUCAGAGGAUUUGUGAACUUCCAGACGCCCAGGAGAUGGGCAAACCAUUGCCACACAGUUUGACGGUCAUCAACAGGGUGCUACACCAUAUAUUGUGCUCUAUCUUUCUACCACGAAGUGGACAUUGAGAUGAGGUCUCUUAUUAUGAGGCAUUCCUUAUUGACUCCAUUCUAACGGAGAGACGAAUUCAUCUACUAUGUCAUCAUUCACUAAGCCUCCUCACAGUGACAUACCACCUCAUCAGGCACCUCUUGCUCCUGACCAUGCUCCAUUGAUGGAUUUAUUUACUCAUAUUAGCUCUCUAGGCACUCGCAUGAAGGAGUUUGUUGUAGUUAGUGAUACAUGGUUCUACUCCAUAGAGGAUCGCAUGGAUCAGUAUCAGACUGGCUUCACGUCACAGUUUGAGUAUCUCCAAUAGAGGAUUGAGCAUAUUGAGGAUCACUUGAGCAUGAGAAGAUGAUGGCUUUUCUAUGCUCUGUGUUUCCACCUCCACCUCGUCAACCUUGAUUUCUUAGAGACCCAUUGUUUUCAUUUUGUAAUGUUGCCAAAAGGGGGAGAUAUUUAGGAUCUAGGACUCUAUAGGAGACUUACAUGCAUAUCAUUUUCAUAUCAUUGUUUGGAUCGUACAUAUUGGAUAGUGAUACUUUUUACUUAUAUAUGAUAUGCCUAUAUGUUUCAUGUCUUACAUUGUUUCUUAUUGCAAAUUAUCUCUAACAUGUCUUGAUUAUCUUUUUUUUAACUUCAUAAAUUUUGAUUGUUAACCCAUGAUUGGUUUGAGGGGAAGAUUCUUCUUCUCCUAGAUAACCAAGGUUUGUCAUCAUAAAAAAAUUGGAGAUUGUUAGCCCAAGGGUUCUCCUAAUCAUGUUUUGAUGAUAACAAACCAUGCUUAAGUUACUAAUUGGUUUGAAUUAUAAAGAAUUUCAAGUGUUAAUUUGAAAAUUCAUCAAAGAACCUAAUGGAUGCAAGAUCAAGAUUUUUGGAAGACCUUUAAUCAUAAGAAACAUAUGUAAGAUGAAUGCAUGGGUGCACUUAAGAUUUGCAUAUCAUUUCAUGCAUAUUUGGAAAACACGGUUUAUGCUUUAAAGUUACAUUUCCAUCAAAAUUUGAGAUCCAUCAAAUGAACCUUAGGAAAAAUGUUUUAAAAUUGGCAUAUAAUUUUACCUAAAGACCUUGCCUAAGUGUUAGAAGCAAAAGGACAAAAAAAAUAUAGGUUUUCUGGUCAAAAAUGGUGAACCAGUCAAGGCAUUGUCUAAAUCAGCUCAAUCGGCCAAGGUACCGGUCGAUCGGUUUCCCUUUCCCUGUCGAGAUCUAGUCAAGAGGUACAAAAAUCACAAUCUCUGUCUCUUUCUCUCUUUGUCUAUCUUCCAGUAGUCUUUCCUUCCCGGUCGAGGGAUUUGCCUUCCCGAUUGAGGUCCGAUUGAGAGUAAUAGUCACUUGCCAAAUAUUAAAUGCUCCAACAGUUAGUGAACUGGUCGACCCCCACCUUGCCCAGUUGAGGUUACUUUUUGGUUUUCUUGGCUCCCGAUGUUAGAAACCUAUAAAUAGAGAGUUCCACUUCAUUUAUGAGCAAGAGAACACUUGCAUUUAUUUGUUUACCUACUUGUUCUUGCCUUAAAAGCUCUCAUUUCUUUUCUUGGUGCAUUAAAUCUCCAUUUUGAUAUCCUUUAGUGCACCUUUGUGAUUCAUCUUAGCCUUGAGUUGUAUUUGAGCCCUUUUUUUAGCUAGGUUGAGAGUUUCAUACUUGUUAAUUGAGUGUUAAAGCCUUCAAGUGAGUUGAAACUUGUAGAGAUUAUGUGAGAGUCGAUUGGAGCCGAAAUCCAAGUGUAAAGGUGAUUAGAAGCUUGGUUGAAGCUUCAAGUUAGUGGAAUCCUCACUCAAUUAGGAGCUUGAGGAGAGUGGACGUAGCCAAGGAAGUGUCGAACCACUAUAAAAUUUGAGUUUGAUUUCUCUAACAUUGUCUCUUUAUAUUUGUUUAUCUUGUGCUUAAAUUUAUUGUGUUUAAAAAGAAUUUUUAAAUACCCAAUUCACCCCCCUCUUGGGUGUUUUUCUCUUUUAAAAUUAGCCUUUAUUUUCUCACAAACUAUUGUAGUAUAGUGGUUUUUAGGUGUCAUCCAUUAGGAUGAAUUGUUCUCGGUAAUUAAGGCGUGAAUGAGAGGAGAAUUAAUGAUUGUGAUUAAGUAAAAUUGAUUUGAAAAUUCAUGGUGAAAAAUCAAUUUAACAAUGGUUUCUAAUUGAGAAAAACAAUGAAAUGUGAAAUAAAAUAAAAUUAAUAGGAAAUGAAAUUCUCGAAGUUAGAAUUUUCUAAAAAACAAAUUCCAUGGUGAAUGGAUGUUGAGAUCUAAUUUUCAUCAAGUUAGAUUGAAAACCGAAAUUUUCAUAUAAACUGAUUUUUUAUUUAGUUUUAGGUCUAGAUUUAAUUUCCCUUAAAAUUAGGUUAUUUAAUCCAAGAAAUCAAUUCAAAUCAUAUAUUCAAUUCAUCUUAAAUUAUCUUCCAAUUAUUCACACAAUGCAACUAUUCAAUCUCAUCAAAUCUAGCUUUUAAGAAUUUAAUGAAUCUACCUAGUUUGCAUUGUAAUAGUCAUCCAUGACAAUUUGAAGAGAAAAAUAAUUCAAUUAAUCAAUCACUUGGAUCAAAUUACCUUUGCAAUUAAAGUUCAUUUCUCUAAUUCACCACAGAUUUUGUCUCUAGAUCCUCCUUUCUCAAAGAAAAAUGAGAUUUAGCCACACAUGAUUGGAGAUUUGGUCUCAUAAGGCAUGUUUAGCUAGUGAUAAAAUGAGAGAAAAUAAAGAAAAAUAGAGAAUUCGAUUAAGAAAGAAAAUCUAAAAAAUUCUACAAUUAGAAAUGUCCAAAAAGCUUUUUCAUGAGAAAAUCAAGUUUCUAUUUAUAGGCCAAGGUCAAGUGGACACUUGACAUCAUCUAAGAGGUCUUCCGGAAGCUUCUUCAUCAAGAAAUCUGGAGUUUAAUAAUAAAAUGGUCAUUUCACAAGAGCUCAAACAAUUUCGCAUGAUUAUGUGAAAUAAAAAAUGCAACAACAGCAAUUUACAUCUUCUUGGAGCAUUUCGCAUGACUGUGUGAAAUUUUCACAUGAUCAUGUGGAAUCGACUUGACAACUCUCAUUUAGCCUACAACAUAAUUCCACCUUUUGGUCCAUUUUUCAUAGUCAUGCGAAAUGGAAAUAUUUGAUUUUUAAGUUUUCUUUUGUCAUUUCUUUCAUUUCCUUCUCUUGAUUCCACUUCAACUACCUCCGAAUCCUGGUCCAAACCAAUUGCAUUACUUCUUUCAUUAUGCAUUUGGAUCAUCAUCAACAUUAUUUGUUCUCUUCAAUUUGAUUCAUCUCUUUUGUCACCAAUUUAUCAAAAUCAUACCUUGAAAUGACUCCAAAACUUCAUAAAACUUGUUAGUAACUCUUGCAAGGGCAACAACAUAUUAAUUAAGUGUUUUAGGCAUAGUUACUACUCAAAAGAUGCGAAACUCAUGAUAAUUAUUAUAUAAAAUAUGCUCUUUUUGAGUAGUAAUCAACUUUCUUGCAUAAGCAGACCUUUUAGGGUGGAGUACUAAAGACCAAUAUGCUUGUCCUUGUUGUAAUAAAGAAACUUGCUCUUAUUGAUUGCACCAUGGGAGAAAAUUUUGCUACAUGAGUUAUCAUCAAUUUCUUCCCACCAAUCAUAGAUUUAGACGUGACAAGAGGCCUCUUAAUGGCAAGGAGGAACUGACACUCACACUUAUACAAUUAUCGGGCAUUGAUGUGUUGCAACAAUUAGAAUAACUUACACCAAUUAUGUUGGGGAAGUCACAAAAGGCAAACAUGAAAACUAAAAGGAAAAAAGAAAAAUGUUACAUAUCACCACAACUGGAAAGAAAAAAGUAUUUACUUUCAUUUGCCAUAUUGGAAAGCACUUAUUUUACAUCAUAAUAAUUUAGACAUAAUGCAUAUUGAGAAAAAUGUGUGACAAUAUAAUUGAGACAUUGUUCAGUAUUGACGAAGAAACAAGGACAACCUAAAUAGUCAUCUCGAUUUACAAGCUCUAACUAUUAGAAAUGAGAUUCACCCAAUAGAAAGCAGGACCAAAUUUAUUUUGCUUGCAACAUGCUACUCACUCACCCCAAAUGAGAUUAAGGAAUUUUGCAAGUUUUUGAAAUCAAUAAAGGUCCCCAAUGGCUAUUCUUUCAAUAUCUCUCGUUAUGUGCAACUCAAUGAAAGGAAGAUAUAUGAGCUCAAAUUGUAUGAUUGUCAUGUCCUAAUGCAACAACUUCUCUCACUUGUAGUUCGUGGAGUUCUACAUAAGAAUGUUUGUGGAGUUAUCAUAGAAUUGCGUAAUUUUUUCAAGCAAUUGUGCUCAAAGGUGUUAGAAACAAAUCACUUACACCAACUUGAGAACAAUAUUAUUGUCAUACUAUGUAAAAUGGAGCAAAUAUUUCUUCCAUCAUUCUUUGAUAUUAUGGUGCAUUUACUUGUGCAUCUAGUAAGGCAAAGGUUGCAAGACUUGUGCAAUAUUGUUGGAUGUACCUAAUUGAACGAUAUUGUUAUAAUUUCAUAUGAAUCAUUUAAUUUUAUUUUAUAUUAUGUUCAGUUCAUUAACAUGUACAUUGGUCUACAUAUGGAUGAUGAUAGGUACCUAAGCACUUUAAAGUCAUAUGUGCGUAAUAGAACUUUUCUAGAAGGUUCUAUUGUAGAAAGGUACCUUGCAAAAGAAUGUACAACAUUUUAUUCUAGGUACUUGAAUGAUGUGGAAAUAAAGUAUAAUCACAAUGAUAGAAACUUUGUUGGUUUCAACACUAGAGGAGAUGAAAGGGGUUAUCUUUAAACAUAUUGGACAUGCAUUGGGAAAGCCCAUAUUUCAUUAACUUAGUUCAAAAGAGUGGUCACAAGCACAUUUAUAUGUGUUGACAAAUUGCGAAGAUGUCAUACCAUUCAUUGAGUAAAAAAUUUAUUUGAAUUUUAAUUAAAGCUCUAGUUUAUAUCCUUAAUCAAUGUUUUUUAAAUUCACAAGGAGCACAAGCAAACCAUCAAGGCUAGACCACAUAUACGUGUUUGAGACGUAGAUUUAAUUCAUAACAAGGAAUUUAUCAAGUGGUUUGAAAGACAUGUAAGUAUAUUCCUUAUUAUAAGGGAUUUAUUUCACAUUAUGUUUAUAUUGAAUCCAAACCUAUUAUUGAAUUGUAGGUUGAACAAUUACAUAAUGAAGGUCAUAUAUCUGAACACCUUCUCACAUUAUCAUGUGUUCCAAAUUCAUUAGUUACAUGCUUCAAAUGAUAUAUUGUCAAUGGAUUUAGAUCCCACAUUAAAGAACGUGAUAAAAAAGUUUUUAAAAAAAGACUCAGAAUAAUGGAAUUGUUGUAGUUGCAAAAACGUCAAGCUUUACAAGUGCAUGUGAUAUGAGUCCAAUUAUUAGUGAUGCUCUCUACUAUGGUGUUCUAACUAAAGUUGUUGAGUUACAUUAUCUUGGUGAAAAUAAGGUUGUUUUAUUCGAGUUUGAUUGGUGGGAUGUUACAAAUAUUGGAAAAUUGAUAAAAGAUGAUGAGUACAAUUACACAUUUGUUAACUUUGCAUGAAUUCUAACCACGAACGAACGAUUUGUACUUGCAUCUCCAGCAAAGUAAGUGUUCUAUGUGAAGAAUGCGAAUGAAUCAGAUUGGCAUACUAUCAUGGAGAUGCAACCUCAAGACCUCUAUAAGAUGAACGGGAUAGGAUCCAAUGGUGAUUUUGAACCAUUUCAACAAAGUGAACUACAUGAUCACUAAUAUAUCUCAGAUUUAGUUGAUGAAGAUAUAAUCAAGUGGAACAAAAGUGAUGUUUUAGGACUAAUCAUCCUAAAAAAUAUUGUAGUUUCUUAAAAAAAAAAUGAAAAUGAAGAAGAUAAUUGAACCUUUGUCAUACUUUAAAAAGCAACUAUGCAUUGUUCAUUUUGUAUGUUUUGGUUUUCUUCAUUUAAUUUCCUGAUUUUUGUGAUUCAAUGUCAUAUUAUUGAUCUUGAAAUAUUUUUCUAAUUUUUCAUUCUACGAUGGUUUCAACAAGGAUGACAUCAAGUCAAAAAAGGAAAUGUGGUCCCACACACAAUAUUGCAUUACAGGGAUUAAGGUCAGGGAAGAAGGUAAAAGUUGCAUUUAAUGAGUACAAUCAAUUGGUUAAACAGAAAAAUGGAAAACACUUAUCGAGCUACAUAGGGACACUUGUAUCUAACCAACACAAUGUACCUCUCCAAGCUAGUGAUUGGAAAAAUGUUCCAAAUGAUGCAAAAGAGAAAGUAUGGCCUUUGUUUUGGUAUGUUGUAUUUCUCACUAUAUGAUGUCAUUUCACUGUUAUUCUAUUUUGUGACUAACGUUUGAAUCAUAUGUAAGAAAAAUUUGAAGUAGAUAAAGACUGAAAAGAUUACAUGUUGGGUAUAGCCUCAAAUAAAUAUAGAAGCUAUAAAAAUAUGAUGAAUGCAAAAUACUAUGACCCUUGGCAUAAGGAUGCAUGAGGAGAGGUUAAUACAUAAAUCACCAUUUGUCUCUGAUGUUGAUUGGAAGUGGCUUGUCUCUGAUGCAUAAACCAAAUCCCCCACUGAAUGUUUGAUAUUUGAUAGCAGGAAAAACACACCCGCAGCUAUACACCUCCAUCAUUCAGAUAAUUAUAGUGGGGGAGAUGAUUCAUGGUUGCCCUUAUACCCUUUAUUUGCACCAUCUAUUGAGAUUCUUUAUCAUGGCCAGGUUUUACUGCAGCAAUAAGAUAUGGUGGCAACAAUUUUAUCUAUAGGUGCGGUUCCAGACCGCCUCCAUAGGUGCGGUUCCUGACUGCCUCCAUAGGUGCCUCUUCUUGUAAUGUUUGUUCUGGGAAUUACACUUGAAAGCCUUAUCGUGAUAAGGGAUUACAAACACUAGUUCAGAGGACAGCCAUGUUAAACUUCCACUAUGUUUGUGUCACAUUAUCAGCAGCCUAGUGUUUAUUGGUCAUGCUAUCUGCAACUAAUAUAACCCGGUGAACUUCAAUCUAAAUUCUGAAAGUACUCAUGUGACAGAUGGUGCCUUUCAGCAGAUAUCAUCAAUUUAAAAGUAGUGUGUGUGCCUAUAGGUGGGAAGGCCUUGGCAAAUGUUCAGUAUUCCGGUAAUUCAAGAAGGAUAUAUCUAAAAUAGAUUUUCUUCUUGCCCAUUUCAAUAGUUAAAAUUUGAGAAGAUUGUGUCCACAUCACACAAAUAUUAUUGGUCCUUCUGUUGCAAUUUACCUCUGAACAUGUCUUCCAAUUCCCACGGUCCUGUUACUCCAGGAAAACUAUUUCGGUCAUAUUGAAAAAAAAAAUAUUAAAGAAGGUACACAUGCUUUUAAGUGGACUGGGGCAUUCAUAUCAGGUGGUCUGUAUCCACAUAUGCCACUUCGUGAAAGGUGGAACAGCCUAAUCACUAGGCUAUUUAGUGUGGCCCAGCCACGUUAAUCAAGCACAAGUCUUCAUACUUAAAGUCAAAUGGUGUCUUUAGUCUCAUUACACAUCGCUAUUUGAAGAUUAACUCAUCACUAGUGUAAUGCGAUUAAGACAGUCCUAACUCAAUAUUUGUUCUAGUUUUGGAUGCAAAUGCUUGCUGGUUUCAUCAUUGGAUGGGAUAAAGGUGCAAUCAGGACUAUGAAUACGUGCAGUAAUACUUCAUUCUCUUUUUUCUCAAUGAGACUUCUUGGCACAAUUUUGCUGCUCAGCAACCUACCUUUCCAUGGAAAAUCAGUUGUGACUGAUAGUAAUGGAUAUAUUCUAGAAAGCUAAACAUAGAUAGCAUUCAAUAUUAUCGAUAUAACAUUAACAGCGUAUGUCUCAAUGCUCAUCAGCUACAAGCAAUGGACAAACACUUUGAGUAACUCACAGCAGUCAAAAUUCCUAAACAGGACAGACGUGACAGAUCUAUAUAUAGAACACUGCAUAUGAGUCACAGGAAAAGAUAAUACGGGUACAUAGAAGCUCUUAUUUUACAUAUUACUCAUACUGAUCAAAGUCGCUCAGUUGGGAUGGAUGGGAGAAGGAGGUUUGAGGGGUGGCUUGUGCGGGGAAGUUGGCAGCUUCUUUCCGGGAGCUGGUUGCUUCUUUGCUGGAGUUGAAGGAGGCUUAAUCUUCCGAGGUGGCUUGUAUGAGUCUUCAGCAUUCUCAGCAGGAGGGUGACCAGGGUUGUGACCAUAAUGUGGUGGCUUCUCUCCCUUAGGUGGUUUGCCAACUGGGGUUGGUGGCUUGUUUUCUGGGAGUGGCUUCUCUCCCUUGGGUGGUUUGCCAACUGGGGUUGGUGGCUUGUGUUCUGGGAGUGGCUUCUCCCCCUUGGGAGGUUUUUCGAAUGGGGUGGGUUUGUGUCCUGGUGGUGGCUUCUCUCCCUUGGGAGGUUUACCAAUUGGGGUCGGUGGCUUGUGUUCUGGGAGGGGCUUCUCUCCCUGGGGAGGUUUAGUGGGUGGCUUGUGUUCUGGAGGUGGCUUCUCCACCGGAGGCUUAUGCUCUGGUGGUGGCUUCUCGAAGGGGGGAUGCUCAGGGUAAUCACCAAGUGAGGGGGUGGUGAGAACCACCAUGCCAAGCAACAACACUAGCAAGUAUGUAGUAGACAUCUUUGGGUUUGGACUCAGACAGUGCAAAACUACGAGAAAUCGCUAGCCCUUUAUAGCGGCUCGGACCUAAUACUGACAUAAUAUAAAAUAAAUAUUAUAUUUUAUCAAGAGAGAACAGAGUGUAAUUUUAUCAUUAAUACCGAUCGAGGCCAAAGAAAGAAGACCCAUAAUCCAUUUCCCACAAGCAUACACAAUGCAGCUGUAAUUUUAUCAUUUACUUUUAUCCCUUGGACCACUGCAUUUUUGUUGAGAGACACAAUAACACAUUUUUAUCUGUCAUUCAACAUUUACAGUAAAGAGAGGGCACAAAACGCAAUUAGAUAAAUUAUGUUUUGCCUGCUAAAAAGAGGCAAAUAACUUUAUUUGCAACAUAAUUAUUUUGGUUUCUAGUGACCCCGGGGCCUUUCGGUUGGUUUGGGAUCGGAAAAUGAACAUCAUAGGGGGGGUUGUGCCCUUAUGGGCAUAUAUAUCUGAUAGCUUCAACUGGCCUUGUUCCUAGAAAGAAAUUGCCAAAGAUAUAAACUUAUUCCAGGCUGAAAGUAGAUGAGAGUCAUAAUGAACAUCAACCUUUGUUCAGUUUGAUUCAAUGCCCCCAUAGUGUUCAUUUCACAGAUCUGAAUGAUUAUAUCCGUUGAAUACAUAAAUUAAUGAAGACAAAUAUGAAACCCAAGAUACAUCUCUGCAUAACAACCCCAACCCUGGUUGCUAUGUUUCCCUUCUUCUAUUCACAUGAGGAUACUGGUUAUAAUUGUCAAACUUGCAACAAGCCCUUUGACACCUAACGUCAAUGGACGAAUUAAAAGUCUCCUUCAAACGUCUAUUUCACAGCAUGAAGCUUAUAAAGGAUGCUGACAACCUUCAGAGUUAGCGACAAAAGAUAAUUAUCAAGGAGAGAUAGUUCCAUGAGAAUUCCAAGGAGUCUGAAUCAAAGACAAAUUGCUCACUCAAGGGUUCUUAUUUUCUUUUAGGUACAAAUCUCUUGAGUGUUGUUAAAGAAACACGUCACUGUCAUUUUGAUUUGCAUUUAACAUUUCACUUUUGUUCUGGAAGGUUUGUUCCGGAAACAUAUCAAAUGAGCAUCAUUUUCUUCUUCGGUGACACAUGGUCGCGAGUACGUGGGUCCAUUUUCAUGCCACUUAGUUGAAAAGUUGGAAAGAAAAAACAUGCCAACAAGAAGAUAGUGAGAGAAGGGGCACUUCAAGCCUUUAACAUGAACAAACAGUAAAUAAAAGAUGUUUCUCCACUCAUAAAAGUGUGUUAGAUAGCAAUAUAACGAAUCACAUCCAAAAUCUUUACUAGGCUCAAACAUAAAGAAGACUCAUUUUUAAGAAAAGAUAAAAAUGGCAUUGUCUGAUAGUAUCCAAUACACGAGAUGGCACUUAAUUUGUACAAGAUCUGUCAAUGCUGACGCACAUUUUCUGAUUAAAAAAAAACUGAUCAGUCAAAAGCAAUGAAGAGAAGUGAUGACAAUGAAUGAUGCUUCCAAUAUUUUCACCCCUUAUAGUGUUCUUCAUGAUUCAGAUAUAUAAUUGGAAAUAGAACAACCCUAUGCCAUACAUUCGUCUAAGUAUGGUGUCUAAUUUUUUGUGUCAGCGGUUGCGAAUGGAGCGUGCAAAAGUCCAAAUUGGCGUCUCUCCAUUUCCACAUAGGAAGGUGACCUUUAUUGACAAAUACCCAAUAUUUGUAGACAUUCCUUAAAUAUCAUAACUUCUUGUUGAUUUGAAAAUCAUUUUUCAACUACCAUGUUUUAAUAAAUAUUUUUUAAAAUGUAUUUUUAUCAAAGUCCACCAUGAUGGAUAAUAUUCACCAUGCAAUAAUUAAUAAAGUACAAACUAAGCGAAAUGAAAAGCAUUUUCUUUGCUUUGAGUUGAUUUUGGUUGCAUUGAGUUGAUUUUGGUUUCAUGGUUUUUUCAACUCUUAUUUUGAUUGGAAGAUGUCAAGAAAAGAAAACAUAAAGAAAAAUUAAAAGGGAAAAAAGAAGAAAAAUAAAAAAAAAUAGAUUUAAAAGUUAAUAAAUUAUUUUUUAUAUUUAUUUUAAUUCAUUUCACUUAUUUUUCUUUUACUAUAUAAAAUUUAAAUAAUUUAAAUUUUAUAAUUAAUUUAAUUACAUUUCAUUUUCUUCUAUAUUUAAAUAUUGGAAAAAUAUUUUACUUAAUAUUUUUUUCUUUAAUUUCUUUGGCAUUUUGGGAACCAAACUUAGCCUUUAAAAUAAAAAACAAAAAAAAAAUGAAAAUAAGGAGGGAAAAGUGAGAAAAGAUAAAAACAAUAUGUAAAGGAUUUGAAAAGUAUUAGUUUGUAAUUACUAUUUGGAUUUCAAUAGUAUUUUAUUUGUCUUUCUAUAUUUCAUGUAAGAGAGAAUUUAAGAUAUUCCCCAAGGCAAAGCAUUAGUUACCUGCAAUCAGUGGUGAUAAGGCUCCAAGCCAAUUUUGGGCCCCAUAUCUUAAGACAGUACAAUUUCCAUUUCAACAUUUCUGAUUUCUCAGAUGUUUCACAUACCACAGAAGAACAUUGUUUGUGAAAAUAUGCAUUUAUGUUGGAUUUUGUAUGCUGUGGGGACUGGGGCAAGGAUCAUAUGGAAGAGUGGUUGACUUUUUCUGUACUUUAACGGUUGAAAUAGGAUAAGCACGGGCAUUUGUGAGGCUUAAUUGAUUUUGAAGCCUGAAAUUGCGUUUCUGUCAUUUUGUCAAAAAAAUGGCAGAUUCCAUACUCAUAUGUUUGGCCUGUGGCCAUGUACAGAUGCCAUUUAGUGACCAGUUUGUAACUGUCAAUCGUUGCGUUUUGACUCUGCCUCAACAACAUCUGCCAUUGACGGGUUUUCAUACUUGCAAAUCAAAUAGUCUUUCGUCCCAUCAGGAAUUUCGGUUUAAAUAUUAUUAAGCAUACGUUUGGCUGACAAUCAUUAUCCAGUUCAUGAUUUGGUUUCUUACCCUUAAUCAAUGGUUUCUAAGUGAAUAUAUGUAGAAGGAAAUCCGAAGUGUAGACAGUAGUAUCGAUAACUCUCAAUAUUCUCUAUAUAAUAGAAUAAACAGCGUCAUAGUGAUCGUCGCCUACAAGCAAGGUACAAAUACCAAAACGAGUGACUCACAUAGACAUCUCCCAACAAGAUGUAGUAGUGACUGACACAUGGACACAAUUAACUCGUAGAAAAGGAUAAGACCAUUGCACAGCAGCUCUUAUUUUACAUACUACUUAUGCUAACCAAAGUCAAUUAGUUGGGAUGGGUGGGAGAUGGAGGUUUGUGCGGUGGCUUGUGGGGCGGAGUUGAUGGCUUCUUUCCAGGAGCUUCUGGCUUUUUCAUCGGAGCUGAAGGAGGCUCAAUCUUAUGAGGCGGCUUGUAUGAGUCUUCUUUACUCUCGACAGGAGGGUGGCCAGGGUUGUGAUCAUAAUGUGGUGGCUUCUCUCCCUUAGGUGGCUUGCCAACUGGGGUUGGUGGCUUGUGUUCAGGAAGUGGUUUCUCUCCCAUGGGAGGUUUAGCAAUUGGGGUUGGUGGCUUGUGUUCUGGGAGUGGCUUCUCUCCCUUGGGAGGUUUAGUAGGUGACUUGUGUUCUGGAGGUGGCUUCUCCACCGGAGGCUUGUGCUCCGGUGGUGGCUUCUUGGUUGGAGGGGGCUUGGGGUAAUCAGCAAGAGAUGGGGUGGUGAGAACCACCAGUCCAAGGAACAACACUAGCAAGUAUGUGGGAGACAUUUUUGAGUUUGGGCUGAUCAGAUGAUGCAAAACUAAAGCAUUACGUGACCUUUUAUAGCAUGUAGCUCCCAAUACCCACUAAGUAUUGUGGGGUCCAUUUGUGCCCUACGGGGUUGAAAACUUAGACAAUUGGGCAAGGACCCACCUGACUAUGGAGGACUAGUGAGGUGUGAUCAUAGCUUUAGGAUUUUUCUUCCUCUGCAGCCGUCGUGCCGUUGGCAUGAUUUUCUUAAUCUUAAAUAAAGGCAUAGUUAUAGAGUUGUUUAAUCUCUAAAUGGGAUUUUAUAUAUAUCUUCAGAUAGCCAUUAAUAUAUUUGAUGAAGAAAGAAAGACAAGUGCAUACAACAUGUAUACGACUAGCUUUCAUGGAGUUCAUUUAUGAUCAGUUUUCCUGUACAUGUAAACCAGGAUCAUAUAUAUGUUUCUGUUCCACAACUAUUUUGGAAUCUUGUUUAUCAGUUUUUAUCAUUAUAAUGUCACAUAGGCUGCCAACUUGGGCGCUAAAAGAACCAGUUGGGCUAGUUCGUUUCAGAAUUUCAAUGUGGAUUCAGGAAUUGUUUUGUAAGAUAUGCGAAAUAGUAGAGGGAUGAAUAGUGUUUCAUUAAUAAAAGUGUCCUGUAAAUUAGAAGGUGUCAUAGAAACUAUAAUCAAUAAAUAACUUUUUUUCCCCACGGGUGGUGUUUCUUGUGGGGAUCAGUGACUGGUUUAGGUUCACCCAAAAUGAGUUCAGACUAAAAUUGGUUUGAGUCAAUGCCGUGUCUCUUUUUUCCAGAAAUCAACUAUUUUAUGCAUUGAAUAAAUCAUACAAAGAAAAUAUGAACGCCCGCAAAACCUAAACCCUGGUUGCUAACUUUCUAUGUUUCAGUUCUAUUCACGCAAGAAUAUUAGUUUAAGUUUGGGAAAAAUGGCAACUUACCUAGUGAUUACUUGGUUUUGGUUUGCGACUAUUUACGCAACCAACCAUGAGUUUGACUUUAACGUCAUGGGUUGAAGCCUCCUACAGGAAGGGAGAAAGCUCCACAGCUAGCUCCAAAAGAGAAUUAUCACAUUGAUAGCUCCAGAGAUUCCCAAGGGGACUGAAUCAAAGACAAGUUCCUCACUUUUUCUUCUUUUGAGGCCAAAUAUGAACCAAGGAUCACACAACCUCAUUCAACUUCAUAAGUUUGAUUUCAUGCAGUUGAACACUGGGUGAAGGCCAUGACAAGAAUUGAUUCAAAAAUUCUAUCACUCUUUUAAGUAAUGGAAGAUUAUUAUCUCUGAUUGGCAUCACAACAGCACAUGCUCCUAGAUCUUUCUAGACACUCCAUGCAAUGAAAGCACAAUGGAUCUUGUAACGAUAGAAACUAAGCCAUGCUACAGUACUAGAUGAUGAGGUAAAACUAGUAGACACGGGUGGCAGCCUAUAUGGGAGGGACACAAGUCUAAUUGAUUUGCAUUUCAGCAUUAUAGAUAGGUAUGUUUUGGAAGAUUUGUUCUGGAAAUACCGCACCAAGUAGGAUUCUUUUUCUCUUUAGUGGGUCCACUUGCAUGCCAAUUAACGAGUUGAAAAGUAUGAGCACCUACCUCGUGCUCGUGGAACCGAAGGUCAGUGAAGUGGGGCUCCUUUUGGCCUCGUGUAAACUUGAUUCAGAAGUGAAGUUAAUAGUCUUCCAUUCAGAUGGAUACAUGGGAAUUUUUCUCUUUUAUUUAUUUAUUUAUUUUUUUUUUGUGUGUGUAUGUCAAAGGAUAAUGAAUGAAGCGCGUUAGCUUGUUUUCUGACUGGAACCGCAGAUGUCCAAAUUGGAGUUCCUUCAUUUCUUACUUAGGAUUGUUACAUGUAUAAACAAGGUAUAAGAAAUAUGCCAACGUGUCUUGAGGAGUUAUUGAUUAGAAAUAACAAGUCACCCGACUGUAGAGUUCCAAGAUUUGAAUCUUCAGACCCUAUAGCAGCCUCUGGGGUACGUGGCAUCCUAUAGCAUAUUAAUGAAGGCUUUUUCGAUUUAGACUUCACAAUACCAAUUAAUAUGUAUGCACAAAAUGGAGAUGACCCCAAAAAAAACAGAAUCGCCAUAGUUUAUGAGGUUAAGGUGAUUCUCCACUUAAUAUCUACAUUAGCUAAUUAUGUAAAUCAAAUGAACUUCUAUUUUUCCUUUUUUUUUUUGGUUUAUGUCAAAUAGUAGCCCAUAAUUAACCCAACCAUUAGCCUGUUUGAAUUGAUUUCACAUGCACAAUGUUGUAGUAGUUCAUAUUUUGAAUUUUAUUUUUACAAAGGUAGUUAAGGAAAAUGAAGUAUAAUAAUUAUAAAAGCAGACUAUAUACACUACAAUAAUUGUUAGAAUGGUAUCUCAAAUUCUAAUUUAAAAUAUUAUUUUUUGUAAAAGAAAUAUUAUAUAGAAUAUUUCCUAAUUUUAUAAAUGAUUAUAAUUAGAUCUUUAUAAAAUAAGGAAAGUUGGUAAGAAUAUCUUUAUAAAUAUUUUAGGUCAUGAGAGAAAGAAAUGGGAUAAAAAUGUGAUGAAGAGGUGAAAUAAGAGAGUUGAUUAGGAUAUAGAUGUGAAGAAGAAAGGGAUUCAAUAUAUAUAUAUCUUUCAAUUACCACAUUAAAACCCUGUGAACCUUUUAUAUGGUUUACUUUAUUUUUAUAUUCCUCCUUUAAUAUAUUUACAUUAAUGCUUCCAUUGGCACAACAAUAACGAAUUACAAAUACAAGCAACAAGUCCCAUGUUUUAUUACCAAAAGCAGGUAAAAUCCACCUAAUAUAUUACAAUAUAUUCAUCCAAUAUUUUAGACCAAUUCUUCACCAUAAAUAUCAUAAUGUGGCUUUUGUUCUUUCUUAAAUUUAAAUUGAAUUGUCUUAUAUCAAUUUGUUUGUGAUUUUUUCAUUAACUUCACUUUCAUUUGGUUAUCUUUGGUUUUUGAAAAGUAUUAAGGAAUUAAUUAACAAAAUAAUGUUAAGAAAAAUAAUUUUCUCUCUUUUGAUUUUGAUUUUGUAGUAGAAAAAUAUAAUUAAAAUUAUUUAAAAAGUAUGUAAUUUUAAAUUAUUUAAUAUUUAGAUAAAAAAAAUAAGUCUAAUGAGUUUAAAAUAACAUAUAAAAAUAAUUUAUUUAUUUUAAAUUUAUUUUUUAUUUUCCAUUAUGUUCUCUUUCUCUUUUACUUUUUCAUAUUUUUUCUUACGAAGAAUCAAACACAACCUCAUAUUAUAUGUCAAGUGUUUGUCUAUAUUUGAGCAAUGUUAGAUACGGCCAUGGAUUCAUCAAACUAAACUGAUUUUAAUAGAUACUUCACAAAUUGAUUUAUACACUAAAUCAUUGGAUAGCAAUGAUGCAUUGGAAUUAAACGUAGGAUGAAGCUCGAAGAACACUGUUUGUGUAACAACAUAUUUAUGAAAUUAUGCAAAGGAUGAGCUUCGGGGUAGUAGUACAAGGUCAUUAAUGGAGAGCCGUGUUAAACCUUGAUUGUGAUUGGAUUCCGUUAUCAGCAACAGCAACCUUGUUUGUAACCUUGAAAGUCAUUCUGUCCACAUCGAAACUCCAAUUUGACGUUUGUAAUUACCAUUCCUGGAGUGUUCCUUGAUUGAAAUUUAAAUAAUAAUUGCGGCCCACAAGGAAUAUUUUCGAUUCUGUGGGAAUUUGACAAGGUUUGUUAGAGAAGACUGGUGACAUGUUGACUUCAAUGGUUCAAAUAGGAGACGUAUGUGGAUUUGGGGGGUUUAAUUGAAACUGAGUCCCUAUGGCUUUUUAAUAUUUGCAUUGAGCAGUCUCCAUGUGACUUCCUAAUUCCCACCAACCCUCCUGUCCAUGCUGUGAAACUAAAUUGUAAUUUAUCAGCCUUUGUCAAUGGUUUCUAAAUUAAAGAUAUAGACCAUGCAUGUACUUUAAUAAAAGCAAAUCUAAAGUGUAGAUAGCAGCAAUGGUGACACCCAAUAUUCUCCAUAAAAUAGAAUUAGAAUAAGCAGUGUUACAUUGUUCAUGAUCACCUACAAGCAUACAAGAACUUCCAUGAAUAACUCAUAGCAAUUGCCAACAGGGCGUCGUAGAGACUCAUACAUAGAACACUAUCCACCCAGAGGAAAGGACAAGACCAGUGCGCUGCAGCUCUUAUUUUUCACAUGUAUACCACCACUCGUAAUAACCAAAUUCACUCAGUUGGGAUAGGUGGGAGAUGGUGGUUUGUGGGGUGGCUUGUGGGGAGGAGUUGGAGGAGGCUUUAUUUUCUGAGGCGGCUUGUAUGAGUGUGCAGGAGGAUGCCCGGGAGUGUGACCAUAAUGUGGUGGCUUCUCUCCCGUAGGUGGUUUGCCAAAUGGGCUUGGUGGCUUCUCUCCCUUAGGAGGUUUACCAAUUGGGGUUGGUGGCUUGUGUUCUGGGAGUGGUUUCUCUCCCUUGGUAGGUUUGCCAAUUGGGGUUGGCGGCUUAUGUUCUGGGAGUGGCUUCUCUCCCUUGGGAGGUUUGCUAAUUGGGGUUGGCGGCUUAUGUUCUGGGGGCGGCUUCUCUCCCUUGGGAGGUUUGCCAAUUGGAGUUGGCGGCUUAUGUUCUGGGAGUGGCUUUUCUCCCUUGGGAGGCUUGCCAAUUGGGGUUGGCGGCUUAUGUUCUGGGGGUGGCUUCUCUCCUUUAGGAGGUUUGCCAAUUGGAGUCGGCGGCUUAUGUUCUGGAAGUGGCUUUUUUCCCUUGGGAGGUUUGCCAAUUGGGGUUGGCGGCUUAUGUUCUGGGGGUGGCUUCUCUCCCUUGGGAGGUUUGCCAAUUGGAGUCGGCGGCUUAUGUUCUGGGAGUGGCUUCUCUCCCUUGGGAGGUUUUGUUGGUGGCUUGUGUUCUGGAGAUGGCUUCUCCCCUGGAGGCUUGUGCUCCGGAGGUGGCUUCUGAAAUGGCGGGGGCUUGGGGUAAUGAGCAAGAGAUGGAGUACUGGUGAGAACCACCAUUCCAAGCAACAAUACUAGCAAGCAUGUGGGAGACAUCUUUGAGUAGUUGUAGCUAAGAUGGCGCAACACUGUAGGCAUUGGGUGGCCUUUUAUAAAGGGCUGGACCCAACAGCCAUAUGACACGUGUCAUGAUGACAAAUGAAGUUGAGGGGAUCCAGAUGGGUCCUACUGAGUCGAAAACUUGCACUAAUUGAUCUGGUGAGAUGACUAUUUCUGUCCUUUUGCCCUUCUCGGCCACCCUGUGCUGUUUUCCUUUUGCACGAUUUUCGUUGCCAAACAAGCAAAUAAUAUUUCGCCAAGAAAGAGGAGAGUGAAUGUGGAAUGCAUCAAGUCCCAUCAAGGAUGGCAGAGAAGAAAUAGAAGAUUGCCCAACUGUGAUAAACAUAGCAUACACGUAGCACCAGGAACUUCAUUUACUUCCAUCUAAUGGAACAUAACAAUCUUCUAAAGUUUUUGCAUGAUUUUGUUAUAUGUCUCUUAGCCUAAAGUUGGAAAUGCGCAACAAAUUUUGUCACUUCUCUAUUUCCCACUGAUGAUGUUAAUUAGCCUUCAUAGAUAUCAUCCUUUCUACAAAGUGCUUCAUUUGUGUGUUAUUGUAAAGUGUAAGAAAAGUAAUUGAACAUGUUCUUUUUCCUUUCAUAGAUGACUUUUGAUGUGCAUUUUAAAAGCAGCGCUGUGAGUCGGUGACCUUGAUUCACACGGAAACUAAGGCUCCUAUAGGACCCACUUUUAGCUGGUUAGGGGUGAAGAAAAUAUCAACUUUUCAGAGUGAUUUAAGUCAAGGCCAAGCCUCACUGUGUCAUUACUCGUGUGAAUUUUAUAUGCACAUACAUACAUAAAUAAAGUAUGAGACCCAAAUAACACCUUCCCUUUACAAACUUAACCCCAGCCGCUCUCUUUCAAUUCUUUUCACACAAGGGUAUUGACUCUAUAAAGGUCAAGAAAAUCAUAAUUUCCUAGGGUUUACAAGGUAAUUGGCUUAAUGCUAAUGUGAAAACAUAAAAGAUAAUAGUAUAUUGUAAGCUAACGAAUAUUCUAUAGUUAUAAUUAUUUGUGAUGUGCAUAAAUAAAUCUUCAUAUAUAUAAUGGAACAAUGAAUAAAGAACCAAUGAAAAAAUACUAUAUAUCAUUGCUUGGCAUUUAAACCGUAUAUGCUGCUCUUUCUAGCUACUCCAUCCACUGAAAGACAACAAGGUAAUCCAUGUUAUAAUGAUAGAAGAUACUGUCUCUAGGCUUUUUGUGAUGAAAAAUAUAAGAUAUGGGUAGGGUUGACCCUUGUAUGUUUGUCCUAUAAACACUUCAAAGUAACAUAUUUUUCUUCUUUAGCAACUCAUAAUGAUGGGGUUCAUUUGCAUGUCACUGAGUUGAAAAGUUGGACAAUUGCCCAUGUCGCCUUCCUCCUAGAUUCCGUAGUUCACGGGAAGGUAACUCAAGUUUGACAUAUUUUGAAUUCUUUUCACUCGGACGUCUUCAUAACCUGACAAAACAAAAAUGAAAAACAGAGGAUUGGUAUAUUAUUCAUGGUAAGCCUCAAAUUAUAGUAGUAUGAGAAAGGAGAAAAAGAUUUUGGGAACUCCAAUCUGGAUAAUUCUCGUUUCUUCUCUUGAAUAAAAAUUUCACUUACCUAACUUCGUUUGGAGAAAUGGCAUAUUUUAAUUUUGUACGUCAUUGCUAAUAAAUGGAGCAAUUUAGCAUGUUUUGUGACUGAAACUGCAAAUGUCCAAUUGGCAUUUCUUCAUUUCCCACUUAGGAUCUGAUCUUGUAGACCAUAUAACGAUAUGUAUCUGUGCAAGCAUUGAAAACUAAUGUGAACUAUGAGGAGUUACAAGCCACUGGACUGUAGAGCGAGUGCCAAGAUUUAAAUCUUCAGGCUCUAUCUGGGUAAGGGGAGGAUAGCGACCUAACCUUUUACCAAAGGCUUAGAAUUUAGACUUUUGGAAAAAAAUUUCUCAUGUUUUGGCUGGAUUUCUUGUGCUUGGCGCAAAAAGGAGAUGGCCUCAAGAAAUAGCAGACUCACUUUUGUUUUCAGCCCUUAAUAAUUCUCCACUGCUUUCCAUAACUACAUGGGUUAUACAUGCAGUCUGCUGCAAUAUUCCAGUUAUAUUUAUUAUUUCAAAGAGGGUGAAUGACUUCACAUGCAAUAUGUUGCAGUAACAACCCAAAUUUUGGCACACCAUCUUAAGAAUAGAAAAGUAUAAUAAAAGAAAUCAAUCAGAGAAUCACUUUGCAUGCAGUUCAUAGAGUUCGCCCAAAAUGGAGCCACAUGUACGGACAACCCCACAAUAGACAAUCUUCUCUAUACAGUAAUAAAAUACAGAAAUGGUUAAUGAAGCUCUGUAUUUCCUUAUCAUAUAUGACCGGUUGAAAACUCAGCAAGUCUUCCUCAAUCACAGACAGUUGGAGUUGCUUCAUCAAAAUCAUGCCUUCAUUACUGGCUUCAUUUUGGUUUCAAUGUCUGUUCUACCCUUAAAUUGGGUCUCUGCUUACUACCGGGAUAUCCUUUAGCGUCCUGCAAUUCUACUAGAUUAAAGAGAAUGACUUAAUUCUGCAUUCUGCCGUCCCUAGUCCAAGUGGUACUAGAAUUGAUGUUUCCUUUAGUGUCCUUUCUUCAUACUUUCAGGUUCUUCCCUUGUUUCAAUAAUGCUGUUUUCCUUCAUGUUUAACCUCUGUUGAACCACUUAAAACAACACAAUUUGCACACCAAUGUUUCUUUACAGAAAAGACUGUUUGCAAAAAUGCACAUGUUAUAAGGUUAAUGGAAGAAUUAAUUUGGGGAUAAGGGACUAGGAUUGGGCCAAUGAAGUUUGGUGUUAAAUUUUGAUUAUGAUUGCUUUUCAUUAUCAGGUACCUUAUAUUUGCUGAUGCUAUCUGGAACUAAAUUCAAAUCAGACAUUAUCCGAUUACUAACAGGACAUAUCAUGUCCCUCUGCAGAGUUUCUAAACUAACAUGUAUCGAAAUGUGGCCCCAAAAGGAAGGCUAGGAAGAUGGAGGAUUUUGUAGGAAUCGACCAGAAUCAGAUGGAAGAGAGAUAGUCCUGUUGACUUUAAUGGUUGUGAUAGGAACAUGCAUCAUUAUAUGAGAAGUUGCAUGAAUUUAUGUAUCCUGUUAUCGUUCCUUGACGAUUUCCCAAUGCAAUUUCACUGUCCACAAGACUAACCUCUCCAUGCAGUCAAAUGAAUUGUAAUUUCUCUAUUGGUACCAGUAGUACAUUUCAUACCAAACAUAUAGUAAAUAUAAAAUAUAAAUAGAUCAAGGAAAUCUGAAUUGUAGAUAGCACUGCAAGUAACACUCAAUAUUCUCUAUAUAUAAUAAAAUAAACAGUGUCACAAUACUCAUCACCCAGUGGCAAGGGAGAAAAACCUACAAUGAGUACUCAAAUCACCAUUCUCAAACAGAAACAUAGCAGUGACUGAUACAUAGAACCUAUAUGCUCACAGGGAAAGAAUAAGAUGACCAGUGCACAGCGGGCAGCAGCUCUUAUUUUACGUACAACUCAAAUCCCAAACUAACCAAAGUCGCUCAGUUGGGAUGGGUGGGAGAUGGUGGUUUGUGGGAUGGCUUCUGGGUAGGAGCUGGUGGCUUCUGUCCCUUUGGUGGUUUGCCUAAUGAGCUUGGUGGCUUGUGCUCCGGGAGUUGUUUCUCUCCCUCGAGUAGGUUUCGAGUCUUGUCAGAUGGCUUGUGUUCUGGUGGUGGCUUCUCUCCCUGGGGUGGUUUGCCGAAUGGGCUUGGUGGCUUGUGUUCGGGGAGUGGCUUCUCUCCCUGGAGAAGGUUACGAGUUUUGUCAUAUGGCUUUUGUUCUGGUGGUGGCUUCUCUCCCUGGGGUGGUUUGCCGAAUGGGCUUGGUGGCUUGUGUUCGGGGAGUGGCUUCUCUCCCUGGAGAAGGUUACGAGUUUUGUCAGAUGGCUUGUGUUCUGGUGGUGGCUUCUCUCCCUGGGGUGGUUUGCCGAAUGGGCUUGGUGGCUUGUGUUCGGGGAGUGGCUUCUCUCCCUGGAGAAGGUUACGAGUUUUGUCAGAUGGCUUUUGUUCUGGUGGCGGCUUCUCUCCCUGGGGUGGUUUGCCAAAUGGGCUUGGUGGCUUGUGUUCGGGAACUGGCUUCUCUCCCUUGGGAGGUUCAGUUGGUGGCUGCUGUUCCGUAGGUGGUUUCUUCACCGGCGGCUUGUGCUCCGGAAGCGGCUUCUCUACCUGGAGAAGCUUACGAGUUUUGUCCGAUGGCUUGUGUUGUGGUGGUGGCUUCUCUCCCUGGGGUGGUUUGCCAAAUGGAGUUGGUGGCUUGUGUUCGGGGAGUGGCUUCUCUCCAUUGGGAGGUUUAGUUGGUGAUUGGUGUUCCGUAGGUGGUUUCUGAAGUGGGGGAUGCUUGGGGUAGUCAGCAAGAGACGAGGUAGUGAGAACCACCAGUCCCAGCAGCAACACUAGCAAGCAUGUGGAAGACAUCUUUGAGUUCAGGCUGAGAUCUGUGCAAGGAUAACAGAAUUAGGUGGCCUUUUAUAGAGGCCUGGACCCAACACCCAUAUGACACGUGUCAUGCACUCAUGGUGACACAUAAUUCUAUGGGACCAUUUGGGUCCUACAGAAGUUGCAAAGUUGGACUACUGAGGUGUGAUCACAACUUUUGUCCUUAUUGCUUUCUCUGCGGCCAUUGCACGAUUUCCUUUAGCAUCAUUUUCUUGGCUAAAUAAGCGUAUUAUAUUUGUGGCAGACCGUCCACGUGUCAUAAACAGAUAUAUUAUAAUAAUGUAGUAUGCUUUUCUCCAAUGGAACAUGACACUCUUCUAAGUCUUGUUUUAAAUAUUGUGCAGGAUUACUUUAUACGUUGCAGUUCCAAGUCAAAAUUGGUGGGCAAACGUUGGCCUUUUUUCAUUUCACCUAAGAUUAAUGCUCACCUGGGAUAGGCACUACAUGACUUAUCUGCUCUUUUACUGUAAAGUUGCUUUGUGUAUGAGAUACACCUCCCCUGCACACCCUCAACAUUCGUUGCUCUGUUUUCCUUGUGUCCAGACGAGGAUAUUAAUUGGAGGCUGACAAAACGACUGCUAGCCCAGGAUUUACAAGGUCCUGGUUUGAGGCUUCGGUGAAAGUAUUUUUGAAAAGACACACAUAGAGAUAGUGCGUUUGGUGCAAUGCAGCACUGUGAGCCAUUCUGACGCGUUCUUAAUUUCAAAACUAAUGAAUGCUUCAAAAUUUUAAGAAGUGACAUUUCCAAAUAUUUGAGUUCGUUUAAUUGAACAUUGGAUAACUAGUGAUCAUAGAUUAUUAUCUGUGCUUGGCACUAUAAGAGGGUAUAUGCUUCUUUUUCUGGCCCCUCCUUCAAGGGAGGAGGGACAAUGUGAUCUGUAACGUUAGAAGCUAUUCCAUGUCAUCUUUGGGCUCAGUUCAAAACUAAAAGAUAAUGGGGGGGGGGGGGGGGGGCAUAUCAUUUUAUAUUUCUUCUAGAAGGUUUGUUCUGGAAAUAUUUCACAGGAGCAUAUCUUUUUCUUCUAUUACGUCAUCCGCAGCCUCCAAUAGGUCGGUUAACAAGCCACCGAGUUGAAAAGUUGGAAAAAUGGGAACACAGCCCGCCUCUUGUAUUCAGUAGUUAAAUAAAAGGUCACUAGAAGUGAGAUCCCUUUUGGCGUCUUGAUUUUCAAUCCAGCACCUCUGUGACCUGACAAACCAAAAAAACUAAAAAAUAAAAAACAGUACGUGGGUUGGUGUUAAGCAUCAAGACAUGUUAAUGAAAGAAGGUAGAGAAUAGGAUAUUGAAAUCCCAAUCCUGAUAACAUGAUUUUCUUUGCUAACAACCAUAUUAUAUUUUAUCAAGAAAGAGUAAUGCAUGUGGCGUCCAUCAAGACCCAUUAGAGUUCCGCUAAAGCUAUAGUUCUGUCAACGUUAUCAUUUACGUUUCCUCUAGAUAAUGGCAUUUUCCUCUAAAGCUCUUGCACCAUUAGGCUUCAAGUCAAAAUUUCACAUGUGAACUUUGGAAAUUUUCUCCAUUUGCCCCUAAGGAUACAGUUAGAAUUGACUUAAAAUCCUGAUUGAUAUGUACUAUUAACCAAAGAAUAUUGUAUAUAAUAAUUGAAAUAUUGUUGAUUCAUCGUGGAAAUACAUUUUGUAAGGAAAGUUGUUGAGAAUUUAGUAUGCUAUAUGGAGAAAAAAGUCAUGACUUAAGGUUGUGUAUGUAUAUUCUAUAUCAAAUAUUAGGUAGGAAUGUGGGAAAGAGCAGAGUGUAAUGAUAAGAAACAAAGAAAUAUAAGAUAUUCUUGAAAGUGGAAAAUAUAAAAUGGCUAACGAGUCAAAUUUAUGAUGCGUAAGGGGGAUCAUGUCACAUAAGAAAACCAUGGCAUACUAAAGACGUACGUGUGGUAUGGAGUAAUAAUUUUGUUAAAAUAAGUUUCUUGUUGGAGUACAUUAGGUGACUAUUCAUAACGUAUCAAAUUAAAGAGUCAAGUGCAUCAAUGAAGGCAUAUGUAGAAAAUUUGUUUGUGACAUGUACCAUAAAGAUAAGAUUGACUUGAUAGAAUUUAGUCUAAGUAGGAGUUGUUAAAGGUGUCUUAAAUUUCUAAUUGAUGUAUAUUUUUUUCUAAAAAAAUAUUAUAUAGAUAUUUUAAUAAAUGAUUAAUUCUUUGUAAAAAUACUUACAUAAUAAAAAACAUCAUUAAAAAUAUCUUUAUAAAUAUUUUAAGUUACAAGAAGGAAAAAAACCACUGUGAGAUAAUGAUGAACAUGCAACACUGUACCAAGUAAAUAAAAAUGUGAUAAAAAAAAAAGAGAAACACUCGAUAAAGGAAGGCUCGUAUAUAAAGAGUAAUAUUUUUAAUCAUAUGAUAGAAUGAUUUUCUCUCAUUCAUGAAUAUAGGCAAGAUUGGGGAACCAUUAUAAAAUUUUGUACACCUCGUGUAAAUUGAUGUUUGUCUUCAUAUUUUACACCAACAAAUGACAUUGAAGUUGUCAUUGAUAAAAGGGAAAAGGCAUGCCUCCACACCAUGUGCUUGAUUCGAAUGGUUCAAGUUUGAAGAAUUUUCUCCGGAAGAUCUAAAACAUUUUCGCCUUUAAAUUUCAUUUGAUUAUUAAUAUCCGAAAAAAUAGUUAAAUACUCUUUCUAUUUUUGAGUUGUUGAAUUUUUUGAAAGUUUUUAUAUUUGUUAUCAAGAAUUUCUAUUUUAUUAAGGGUGAAUAUUUAUAAAUAAGAUAUUAUAUAAUAUUUGGAUAAGAGAGAAUGGUGGAAUAUAAUAAAGUUUUAAUCCUUCCCAAUUUUGAACCUUUUUUUUUUUUUUUGAUAUAAUCGCCUUUCUCUUGCAAUCCUAUUAUCAGGUACCUUAUAUUUGCUGAUGCUAUCUGGAACUAAAUUCCAAUCAGGCAUUGUCCAAUUACUAAUAGGACAGAUCAUAUCUCUCUGUUUCUAAACUAACAUGUAUCGUAAUGUGACCUCAUAAGGAAGGCUAGGAAGAUGGAGGAUUUUGUGGGAAGCGACCAGAAUCAGAUGGAAGAGAGAUAGCCCUGUUGACCUAAUGGCUGUAAUAGGAGAAGCGUGUGGUUUUAUGGGACUUAACUGAUACUAAACCUGUAUGAUGCUUGGAGUGGUGUUUCUUUCAUUUUGUUAAGAAAAUAUGGCAGCAUACAUGCUUUCAACUGAGUGCAUCAGAGCAUCCAUAACAGAUGGUCUGCAACCCUAGGUGCAUGCCACUUUCUGACUGAUAAUGAAAUUGUCAGGUACCUGGCCUUGACUAAGCUCAACAGCAUCACAUAAAGAGAAGCUUUCAUACUUAGAUUACUGUUUAAAGUUUUUGCUUAUUUGAUUUCUUAAUGCCAUUAUGACAUUAUUGAUUCAAUUCUGCUUCCGAUUUUCGAAGUUCUGGGCAUCUACUGAUUGCAUCAUUAUAUGAGAAGUUGCAUGAGUUUAUGUAUCCUGUUAUUGUUCCUUUGCGAUUUCACUGCUCACGGGACUAACCUCUCCAUUCAGUCGAAAUGAAUUGUAAUUUCUUUACUGGUAGCAGUAGUACUUUUCAUAGCAAAGAUAAUAGAAAAUAUGAAAUAUAAAUAGAAGGAAAUCUGGAUUGUAGAUAGCACCAUAAGUAACACUCAAUAUUCACUACAUAAUAAAUAGACAGUGUUACAUAGGUAGAGAAACCUACAAUGAGUACUCAUCACCAUUCUCAAACAGAAACAUAGCAGCGACUUAUACAUAGAACCUAUAGGCUCGCAGGGAAAGAGUAACAUGAUAAGUUCACAGCGGGUAGCAGCUCUUAUUUUACGUAUUACUCAAAAUCUCAAACUAACCAAAGUCACUCAGUUGGGAUGGGUAGGAGAUGGUGGUUUGUGGGGUGGCUUCUGGGUAGGAGCUGGUGGCUUCUUUGUUGGAGUUGAAGGAGGCAUAUUCUUCUGAGGUGGCUUGUAUGACUCUUCGGCACUCUCUGCAGGAGGGUGCCCAGGGUUGUGACCAGAAGGAGGUGGCUUCUGUCCCUUUGGUGGUUUGCCUAAUGGGCUUGGUGGCUUGUGCUCCGGGAGUUGUUUCUCUCCCUCGAGUAGGUUUCGAGUUUUGUCAGAUGGCUUGUGUUCUGGUGGUGGCUUCUCUCCCUGGGGUGGUUUGCCGAAUGGGCUUGGUGGCUUGUGUUCGGGGAGUGGCUUCUCUCCCUGGAGAAGGUUACGAGUUUUGUCAGAUGGCUUUUGUUCUGGUGGCGGCUUCUCUCCCUGGGGUGGUUUGCCAAAUGGGCUUGGUGGCUUGUGUUCGGGAACUGGCUUCUCUCCCUUGGGAGGUUCAUUUGGUGGCUGGUGUUCCGUAGGUGGUUCCUUCACCGGCGGCUUGUGCUCCGGAAGCGGCUUCUCUACCUGGAGAAGCUUACGAGUUUUGUCAGAUGGCUUGUGUUGUGGUGGUGGCUUCUCUCCCGGGGGUGGUUUGCCAAAUGGACUUGGUGGCUUGUGUUCGGGGAGUGGCUUCUCUCCAUGGGGAGGUUUAGUUGGUGGUUGGUGUUGCGUAGGUGGUUUCUGAAGUGGGGGAUGCUUGGGGUAGUCAGCAAUAGACGAGGUAGUGAGAACCACCAGUCCCAACAGCAACACUAGCAAGGAUGUUGAAGACAUCUUUGAGUUCAGGCUGAGAUCU